This is a non-coding RNA of Pelobates cultripes (western spadefoot toad), 268 nucleotides long. Lineage: Eukaryota; Metazoa; Chordata; Amphibia; Anura; Pelobatidae. The record is from the annotation of a GenBank genome assembly.
CUUCACAAGUGUGAGCUGAACAUUUUAAGGAAUAGUUUUAGCUGAAAUACAUGAUUCUUUUGUCUGAAAUGGUAUUUUGUAACAUUAGCAAUAUAUGCAGAAUUUCACUUUCUGUAGGAAAAAGGGGUCCAGAGAUAUUGUAACAAGUAACAACAGUGGGAUUAUUAAUUUGUCCUUUUUCCUAACUGAGGUCCAUUUCCUUCAUUUUCAUCUGUAAAUACUGAACAAAAAUAUUAAUUGAGGUAGUCAGCUAGACCUUUAUCCUCUU